Long non-coding RNA from Capra hircus (goat), 2229 nucleotides. NCBI's taxonomy places the organism in Eukaryota, Metazoa, Chordata, Mammalia, Artiodactyla, Bovidae. The record is from Ensembl.
AACAGAUUAAGUCCUCUCAGGAGCUGAUGUUUGAGGUGGUAUCAACAGAUUUCCAGAACUAGAAGAGCUGAUAUUUUUAAAAGGGUGUAGACAGGGUCAAUAAGAAGGAAAUCUCUAGAAUCGGAGUGGUGACCUCAUGUUAGGGGUCAGCAAGAAUCCAUGUACAAUGGUUCAAAGCCCUGUGCUAUGAGGGAGAGAUGUCAGGAGGUGGAAGAGGAAAGAGGAUCACAGAGCAUCCCCAGCGCCAUUGAUCUCCCAGGAACUACUCACCUUGAAUAGGUCACUUUCACACACACACACACACACACACACACACACACACACACACACACAGAGGGGUGGGUCCAUGUCCCUUUGAGUGGACUACCACUUCUUUCCUCUAGUCUCACUUACCUGUGGUUGUCGACAUUUCCUCCCAGUGCACCAAGAAAUCCCAAAGACAGGCCUGACAGUCUCCCAUGGAGACCUUCUUGAAGAAGUUGCUCACAGCCCUGUCCUUCUCCCACUUCUCUCUCAUCCGUCUCCCUCCAGAAUGAACCACUGUCCAGUGUCCAUUCUCCAAAUCAAAGAGGAGGCACAUUUGUCCACUGAAGCCAAACUGCCAGGAUCCACUGAUGUGUCCAUCCUCUUCACAUCGACAUGUCAUCCUGCCCUGCAAGGUACCCAGGAUCGGCCAACACACAGCCUUUCUGGAUACAUGCCAGAUGGCUCUGCAGGAAAAGCCUAGAUGGAAGAGGACUUUCAGAACCGAACCCAGUGUCCUGCCAGAGAUGGAGAGCAUGUGGGGGCUGCUUCUGAGGAGCAUUUCAUUUAUAGAAUGGAGCCCCUUUUCAGAAUGCAUCCCCAGAGAAGGAAGCCACGUUCCAGUGAGGAGUGCCCUUUCAUCACCACAGUAAGCAGAGGUCCUUUCCUUCUUUCCCAAUGAGCCGCAUGACCGUGGACUCAGACAGUGAGAUCCCAUGAGGAACAAGACUCUGGAGAGGGGUUGUCUGUACUCUUAACUUGAAGCUGUCAUCAAUGACACAGCUCCUAGCAGACUGGUGUUUGUGGAUGACAUCCCUUCUGACCAGGUAGCUAAUCCCACAGGCAGUGUCAACAGACCUGUGGACCAGGUCUUGUUGAGAAAUUCCCUGUGGCCUCUACUAACUUGUGCUGCCAUAAAAACAAUUUAAGAUUCUCCCAAUUCAUGUAAGGCAAUCCACCAUGGGCUUUUCUCCUUCUAUAUACACAUGGGUAUCAGGAAGAUUUCUGUGAUGAAGCCUUCAUAGCUUACAACCUUCAGUGAGCAUCACUGCCACCUAAAUUUCAGAAGCUUGAUUUUUUUUUUUUUAACACAGAACAAGAAAUGUUUAUUAUCUUGAAUGCUGGUGCAUAACCAAAAACAAGAUUAAUUAGAGGAGGAGACAGAGGGAAACUUAAAUACUGAGGUGGAUUUCUGGGAAGAUUUAAAACUUUUAAGGGUUGUUCAUAAUGUCUUUUUUUAGAUGUAGGGCUUUCCUUUUACUGGACAAUUUUCACUUAACAUUUCUUACAUUAUGAAAUUCAACCAGUCUUUGGCCUGUAAAGUUAAAUGAAAAAAGAGAGCAAGAGAAACAGAAAAUUCCCUAGUAUAUACUGAUGUUUGAAAGAGUUUGUAUUCUUUGUACCUUCAUGUACAUUUUACAGUCUAAAUUUGAAACUUUAUUAAGGAUGUCUUAACUUUUGCCUUUUAAAAAUGUUCAAGGCAACUAAUUUUCUUGAAUUAAAGAUUACAGUAGCUUUAAAAAUGAUCAAGAUAAACGUACAAACAAAAUCUCCAUUGUCCUUGGAAACAUGUUUUAAGAUAUAGCACACAUGACACAUACCUCUUUGGGGACUAGAUUAUCCUUUGAGAUCCUGAGGAAUACUGGGUGGAAGAUUUAUUUUACACCAAAAUUUAGCCUUUGAUAACCACAGCUUGGAUAGAUCACAAAGUUGAAUCUUUAAAGUUUUCUCAAUAUGCUUUCAGUCCAAAUAACUCAAAACUUAUGUCCUAAGGUGGAUAAAUUGGUCAUUUUUUUCCUCAUAUAAUUAUCAUCAAUGGGCUCUUGACUGGCAGUCUAUCUUGGUCGUAACUUGCAAAGCCAUUCCUUACAGUGAAACAUGAAAGAUUAUCUUCCCCAAUAAGAGGAAAUUAAUCUGAAUAAACACAAAGUCAAAGCCAUAUGUGUCUCUGGACAUUCUUGAAAACAGGUUUCGACAGUACUGAGA